This 67-nucleotide transfer RNA is filed under the name Prionurus scalprum (scalpel sawtail). RNAcentral describes it as "tRNA-Cys". The record is from RNAcentral. Lineage: Eukaryota; Metazoa; Chordata; Actinopteri; Acanthuriformes; Acanthuridae.
AGCCCUGAGGUGUUUAUCAUAUUAGAUUGCAAAUCUAAAGAAGCAGGCUAAUCGUCUGCCGGGGCUU